GCAGCCACUCAUUCAAAGAGUGCGUAAUAGCUCACUGGUCGAGUGAUCCUGCGCCGAAGAUUUCCGGGGCUAAAACUUACUACCGAAGCUACGGCAUCAGUAAUGAUGGGUAGGGGAGCUUCCCAUACGGGUGGAAGCAUGACCGUAAGGACAUGUGGACAGUAUGGGAGUGAGAAUGUUGGCAUGAGUAGCGAGAUGUGGGUGAGAA
RNAcentral lists this ribosomal RNA (208 nucleotides) under Clostridioides difficile. RNAcentral describes it as "partial 23S ribosomal RNA". It matches the Rfam family "Bacterial large subunit ribosomal RNA", at positions 1112 to 1327 of the family's 2925-position model. The record is from RNAcentral. Lineage: Bacteria; Bacillati; Bacillota; Clostridia; Peptostreptococcales; Peptostreptococcaceae.